This 285-nucleotide long non-coding RNA is filed under the name Mytilus galloprovincialis (Mediterranean mussel). Lineage: Eukaryota; Metazoa; Mollusca; Bivalvia; Mytilida; Mytilidae. The record is from RNAcentral.
UGUCGUUUGUUUAUGUGUUACAUAUUUGUUUUUCGUUCAUUUUUUUUUUACAUAAAUAAGGCCAUUAGUUUUCUCGUUUGAAUUGUUUUACAUUAUCUUAUCGGGGCCUUUUAUAGCUCACUGUGCGGUAUGGGCUUUGCUCAUUGUCGAAGGCCGUACGGUGACCUACAGUUGUUAAUGUCUGUGUCAUUUUGGUCUUUUGUGGAUAGUUGUCUCAUUGGCAAUCAUACCACAUCUUCUUUUUUAUAUUGAAAUAUACCAACUAUUUUUUCACCUUUUUCAUUC